UGAGGAAUAUUGGUCAAUGGGCGCAAGCCUGAACCAGCCAUCCCGCGUGCAGGAAGACGGCGCUAUGCGUUGUAAACUGCUUUUCCAGGGAGAGAAACUUGCGCACGUGUUGCGCAAUUGACGGUACCCUGGGAAUAAGCAUCGGCUAACUCCGUGCCAGCAGCCGCGGUAAUACUGAGGAUGCGAGCGUUAUCCGUAUUCAUUGGGUUUAAAGGGUGCGUAGGCGGACUAUUAAGUCAGUGGUGAAAUCCUGCAGCUUAACUGCAGAACUGCCAUUGAUACUGAUAGACUUGAGUUUGGUUAAGGUAGGCGGAAUGUGUAAUGUAGCGGUGAAAUGCUUAGAUAUUACACAGAACACCAAUUGCGUAGGCAGCUUACUGAGCCGACACUGACGCUGAGGCACGAAAGCGUGGGGAUCGAACAG
RNAcentral lists this ribosomal RNA (424 nucleotides) under uncultured bacterium. RNAcentral's name for it is "bacterial SSU rRNA". It matches the Rfam family "Bacterial small subunit ribosomal RNA", at positions 355 to 775 of the family's 1533-position model. The record is from RNAcentral.